RNAcentral lists this ribosomal RNA (253 nucleotides) under uncultured bacterium. RNAcentral's name for it is "partial 16S ribosomal RNA". It matches the Rfam family "Bacterial small subunit ribosomal RNA", at positions 524 to 776 of the family's 1533-position model. The record is from RNAcentral.
UACAGAGGUCUCAAGCGUUGUUCGGAUUCAUUGGGCGUAAAGGGUGCGUAGGCGGCGCGGUAAGUCGGGUGUGAAAUCUCGGAGCUUAACUCCGAAACUGCAUUCGAUACUGCGGUGCUAGAGUACUGGAGAGGAGAUUGGAAUUCACGGUGUAGCAGUGAAAUGCGUAGAUAUCGUGAGGAAGACCAGUGGCGAAGGCGGAUCUCUGGACAGUUACUGACACUGAGGCACGAAGGCCAGGGGAGCAAACGGG